CCUACGCGUGGCAGCAGUGGGUAAUAUUGCACAAUGGGGGCAACCCUUAUGCAGCAACGCCGCGUGAAUGAAGAAGUAUUUCGGUAUGUAAAGCUCUAUCAGCAGGGAAGAGAAUGACGGUACCUGACUAAGCAGCCCCUGCGAACUACGUGCUAGCAGCCACCGGAAUACGUAGGGGCCGCGCGUUAUCCGGAUUUCCUGGGUGUAAAGGGAGCGUAGACGGUUCUGCAAGUCUGAAGUGAAAGCCCGUGGCUUAACCGCGGAACGGCUUUGGAAACUGUGGAACUGGAGUGCUGGAGAGGAGAGCGGAAUUCCUAGUGUAGCGGUGAAAUGCGUAGAGAUUAGGAGGAACACCAGUGGCGAAGGCGGCUUGCUGGACAGUAACUGACGUUGAGGCGCGAAAGCGUGGGGAGCAAACAGGAUUAGAUACCCGAGUAGUC
RNAcentral lists this ribosomal RNA (440 nucleotides) under uncultured bacterium. RNAcentral's name for it is "partial 16S ribosomal RNA". It matches the Rfam family "Bacterial small subunit ribosomal RNA", at positions 338 to 795 of the family's 1533-position model. The record is from RNAcentral.